RNAcentral lists this unclassified non-coding RNA (146 nucleotides) under uncultured Mycosphaerellaceae. The record is from RNAcentral. Lineage: Eukaryota; Fungi; Ascomycota; Dothideomycetes; Mycosphaerellales; Mycosphaerellaceae.
CCGAGUGAGGGCCUUCGGGCUCGACCUCCAACCCUUUGUGAACACAUCUUGUUGCUUCGGGGGCGACCCUACCGUUCCGACGGCGAGCGCCCCCGGAGGCCUUCAAACACUGCAUCUUUGCGUCGGAGUUUAAGUAAAUUUAAACA